RNAcentral lists this ribosomal RNA (434 nucleotides) under Helotiales sp. Its description in RNAcentral is "partial large subunit ribosomal RNA". It matches the Rfam family "Eukaryotic large subunit ribosomal RNA", at positions 128 to 565 of the family's 3401-position model. Lineage: Eukaryota; Fungi; Ascomycota; Leotiomycetes; Helotiales. The record is from RNAcentral.
CCCUCSGGGUCCGAGUUGUAAUUUGUAGAAGCUGUUYCGCGUGCGGCUCCGGUCUAAGUUCCUUGGAACAGGACGUCAUAGAGGGUGAGAAUCCCGUAUGUGACUGGGUGGCCGCGCGCAUKUGAAACGCYUUCGACGAGUCGAGUUGUUUGGGAAUGCAGCUCAAAAUGGGUGGUAAAUUUCAUCUAAAGCUAAAUACUGGCCAGAGRCCGAUAGCGCACAAGUAGAGUGAUCGAAAGAUGAAAAGCACUUUGGAAAGAGAGUUAAACAGUACGUGAAAUUGUUGAAAGGGAAGCGCUUGCAAUCAGRCYUGSGCCCGGGCGAUCAUCGGGGGUUCUCCCCCGUGCACUCGUUCGGGCUCAGGCCAGCAUCGGUUCUCGUGGCGGGAUAAAGGCCCUGGGAACGUGGCCCCUCUCGGGGGGUGUUAUARCCCA